RNAcentral lists this unclassified non-coding RNA (318 nucleotides) under uncultured fungus. RNAcentral's name for it is "sequence contains ITS2". The stretch from base 1 to 52 matches the Rfam family "5.8S ribosomal RNA", at positions 103 to 154 of the family's 154-position model. Lineage: Eukaryota; Fungi. The record is from RNAcentral.
AACGCACCUUGCGCUCCUUGGUAUUCCGAGGAGCAUGCCUGUUUGAGUGUCAUGAAAUUCUCAACCUUUCUGGCUUUCUUUUUCGAAAGUCAGUUUGGCUUGGAUUUUGGAGGUUGCUGGUUUUCUAGUAAAAUCGGCUCUUCUUAAAUACAUUAGCAAUCCUUUGCUGAUCCAUCAUUGGUAUGAUAAUUAUCUAUAUCAUUGAUAGUCAGUCUUCCCUUGCGGGAAGAGGCUUUGCUUCUAACUGUCCUUUUUUAAAAAAAGACAAAUUUUGACAACUUUGACCUCAAAUCAGGUAGGACUACCCGCUGAACUUAA